RNAcentral lists this ribosomal RNA (506 nucleotides) under uncultured bacterium. Its description in RNAcentral is "partial 16S ribosomal RNA". It matches the Rfam family "Bacterial small subunit ribosomal RNA", at positions 28 to 507 of the family's 1533-position model. The record is from RNAcentral.
GACGAACGCUGGCGGCGUGCUUAACACAUGCAAGUCGAACGGUGAAGGGACUGGUUUUGCUGGUCCUGGAUGAGUGGCGAACGGGUGAGUAACACGUGAGUAACCUGCCCCCUUCUUCUGGAUAACCGCAUGAAAGUGUGGCUAAUACGGGAUAUUCUGGGUCUGUCGCAUGGUGGGCCUGGGAAAGAUUGCGCCUUUUUUGGUGUUUUUGGUGGGGGAUGGGCUCGCGGCCUAUCAGCUUGUUGGUGGGGUGAUGGCCUACCAAGGCGGUGACGGGUAGCCGGCCUGAGAGGGUGGACGGUCACACUGGGACUGAGACACGGCCCAGACUCCUACGGGGGGCAGCAGUGGGGAAUCUUGCACAAUGGGCGCAAGCCUGAUGCAGCGACGCCGCGUGAGGGAUGGAGGCCUUCGGGUUGUGAACCUCUUUCGCCAGUGAAGCAGGCCUGCCUCUUUUUGUGGGUGGGUUGACGGUAGCUGGAUAAGAAGCGCCGGCUAACUACGUG